GCCCCCAUUGUCUAAUGGUUAUGACGUCAGACUUCUAAUCUGGAGGUUGCGGGUUCGAGUCCCGCUGGGGGUU
Molecule: non-coding RNA, 73 nt
Organism: Dendrothele bispora CBS 962.96
Lineage: Eukaryota; Fungi; Basidiomycota; Agaricomycetes; Agaricales
Source: the annotation of a GenBank genome assembly